UGGGAAGUAUUGCAUCAAUGGGCGGCAAGCCAUGACUGCAGCCAUGCCGCGCUGUAUGAAGAAGGCCAAUCCGGGGCUUCGGUUAAAGAUACUUUUCAGCGAGGAGGAAGGUGUUGUGGUUAAUAACCACAGCAAUUGACGUUACUCGCAGAAGAAGCACCGGCUAACUCCGUGCCAGCAGCCGCGGUAAUACGGAGGGUGCAAGCGUUAAUCGGAAUUACUGGGCGUAAAGCGCACGCAGGCGGUCUGUCAAGUCGGAUGUGAAAUCCCCGGGCUCAACCUGGGAACUGCAUCCGAAACUGGCAGGCUAGAGUCUUGUAGA
RNAcentral lists this ribosomal RNA (322 nucleotides) under uncultured Enterobacteriaceae bacterium. RNAcentral's name for it is "bacterial SSU rRNA". It matches the Rfam family "Bacterial small subunit ribosomal RNA", at positions 355 to 655 of the family's 1533-position model. The record is from RNAcentral. Lineage: Bacteria; Pseudomonadati; Pseudomonadota; Gammaproteobacteria; Enterobacterales; Enterobacteriaceae.